CAGAUAAGAGUUGGGGAAGUGGAGUCAGACAGGAGCCCUACCGAGGCUCCAGCCAUGCCCACAGCUACACGUGGGCCACAGACGGCUGAACCACACGGACAUACCAGCACAGGCACAAUGUCACCUGUCCCAUCUGGGAGAACAGGAACCCCUUCUCUCUCACGGUUGUACUCCCAGAAAGGAACUCAAUUCCCAGCACAUUGCAGAUGCGCACUAAUAUUUGGCUGCUGACACCACUCGAGGAAACCAGCCAGCCUUGGGGGCUCUGACGCUGGAUGCAGCCCUCCCAGGAAAUAGCUCCACUGGCUGCAGUAACUGGAGGCUCCUGAGCCACAUUUCAGCCUGCAGUGGGUGGUGGGUGGGCCCCAGCCCAACUGCUGCCCUGCCCCAGGAAGAAGCAGGCCCGUCAAAAUGUCUGACCCCAUCCGUCCCCCUAUCCCCUCCCCUGCCCCAGUCUGUCCUCAGUCCUGAUCCCCCUGCCCGCCCCACAGUGGCCCAGGCUGGCCAUGCCCUUCCCACCCUGCAGGCCAGCUGCUCAGAGCCAGGGGCUCACAGCCAGGGACGGAGGCUAUCCUAGCUCCCACCCGGGCUGGGCCCAAACCUGCCUCCUUUGGGCCUCAUUCUGAUUGGAAAAAAACAGCCUCUCUAGUCCCUGUCUCAGGAAGACGGCUUUUCAAACCAGAAUCUUUCUCACAAGUGUCUCCUCAGGACACAGCUCACUGUGUGGUUUCCUGAAGCUCUUUCUGGGUCAAGAUCUGAUCAGGAGUCCAAUGUGAAUAGGAGACAACAGAGAGCUGUCUUUGUACUUUGGCUCUGAGGAAGGUUUGUGGAAUGGACCGCGUGUGGCCUGAGAGAGCUCGCAUUUCAGGGAAUGCCUGGGCUUGAUGCCUGUUAUCUUGUUCAGUGCCUCUGAUAAAUUAAUAAACUGGAAUCUCACUC
This is a long non-coding RNA of Pan troglodytes (chimpanzee), 939 nucleotides long. RefSeq lists it as uncharacterized. The record is from RefSeq and is a predicted model, not a curated record. Lineage: Eukaryota; Metazoa; Chordata; Mammalia; Primates; Hominidae. The transcript is spliced from 4 exons.